CUUCUUACAAACAAUGGAGUUAGUCCGACCGAAAUUGACAGUUCUUAUUUGUAUGGUUGUACCAGCGGGACACGAGAGAGGUUUUGUGUCGAAUUCACAGACAAUCUUAUUAUUGCUGGCAGCUGAAAUUUGCAAUACAAGUCGCAGAUAGUAAUCAAAAGAGCCACUGUGAAGCUGUGAAGGCCUUGUUCACAAAAAAGUGUUUGAGGUAUGAACACCUCGGAAUUAGGAUGUACACUUUUUUUUAACAAUUUAAUGAACUAUAUCUUCAGUUGGUCUUGUUGACCAAAAGCAAAUCUAUCGUUAACUUUUUAUUUGUAAGUUACGAGUUCAAAAAUCAACUGUGCAUUUUUUAUCAUUAACAAACAUUAAAUACAUUUUCAGAUCAAAAAUAAUUUUCUUAUAUUAUGUAAUCUAAUUCAAAUUAAGACAUUAAAGUCUUUCAGACCACCUAGCGAAUGUUGCAAAUACAUGUAGUAGAAACGCAAAGAUAUAGGGUUUUAUCAUUUUAUGGUAUUUACAUCACCGCGACAAACAUUCCCCAUACUUAGUACGGCCACUUUUGAUCUUGGUGUUUAUAGCUCCAUAAAAAUAAAAGAAGCAAAAUAC
This is a long non-coding RNA of Magallana angulata, 609 nucleotides long. RefSeq lists it as uncharacterized. Lineage: Eukaryota; Metazoa; Mollusca; Bivalvia; Ostreida; Ostreidae. The record is from RefSeq and is a predicted model, not a curated record. The transcript is spliced from 2 exons.